AUCAGCGCGGUCCCGGGAACCAAGUCUAUCACGAACUCGAUCUCCCGGUCCGGCGGUAUCGCCGGUAACUCCGCAGGAAAUACAUCCAGAAAUCCCCGAACCACAGAUAACUCCUCAAGUGCCGGAGCCACGCGGUCAACCUCCACAACGGUUGCCAAAUAAGCCGCGCAACCGCUGCUGACCAACUUCCUCGCUCUCGUCGCC
Molecule: long non-coding RNA, 204 nt
Filed under: Ananas comosus (pineapple)
Lineage: Eukaryota; Viridiplantae; Streptophyta; Magnoliopsida; Poales; Bromeliaceae
Description: long non-coding RNA (ACOM_LNC014969)
Source: RNAcentral